This 625-nucleotide long non-coding RNA is filed under the name Ananas comosus (pineapple). RNAcentral describes it as "long non-coding RNA (ACOM_LNC023820)". Lineage: Eukaryota; Viridiplantae; Streptophyta; Magnoliopsida; Poales; Bromeliaceae. The record is from RNAcentral.
AGGAGGAAGAAGAAGAAGAAAAAGAAAAAGAGAAAAAAAAUUGCCCCGCCUGGGCUUCGUUUUUUUUUUCGGCGGAAAAAAAAAGAACGAGAGAACAAAGAGGAGAGAGAAAGAGGAAAGAGAAAAAGUAAUAAGGGUAUUUUGGUCAGUUUGCUGAAAAAGCGGACCGAAUCUGCAAAAAUGAAAAAGGUGGCCCGAUUUUGCAAAAAUCCAAAAUAAGUGGAUUUUUUAUGCAAAUUGGCCAUAUAGUUAUCUAUGGUGGCACUAAAAUCAAUUACUAUCGAUUGAUUAAUUUAAAGUGACUUUACUACUUUUCCCUCUAAAUGACUAUUUUGUCCCCAUUAUAUAAUUACCUACGGUGGCGAUAAAAAAAAUUGCCACCAAUUAAUUAGAUUAAAGUGCCAAUACUAUUUUCACCAUUAAUUAAAUAACUAUUUUUCGCCACUAUAUAUUUAUUUAUGGUGGCGAUAAAAAAAAUCGCCACCGAUUAAUUAAUUUAAAGUAACAAUAUUACUUUUGCCACUAAAUUAUUAGUUGGUCACCACUAUAAAGUUACAUAUAGUGGUGAUAAAAAAAUUAUCACUUAUUAAUUAACUUAAAAUAUCAUUAUUAUUUUCGUCACUAA